RNAcentral lists this ribosomal RNA (491 nucleotides) under uncultured bacterium. RNAcentral describes it as "partial 16S ribosomal RNA". It matches the Rfam family "Bacterial small subunit ribosomal RNA", at positions 29 to 506 of the family's 1533-position model. The record is from RNAcentral.
AGUGAACGCUGGCGGUAGGCCUAACACAUGCAAGUCGAACGGCAGCACAGUAAGCGCUUGCUCUUACGGGUGGCGAGUGGCGGACGGGUGAGGAAUACAUCGGAAUCUACUUUUUCGUGGGGGAUAACGUAGGGAAACUUACGCUAAUACCGCAUACGACCUACGGGUGAAAGCAGGGGAUCUUCGGACCUUGCGCGAUUGAAUGAGCCGAUGUCGGAUUAGCUAGUUGGCGGGGUAAAGGCCCACCAAGGCGACGAUCCGUAGCUGGUCUGAGAGGAUGAUCAGCCACACUGGAACUGAGACACGGUCCAGACUCCUACGGGAGGCAGCAGUGGGGAAUAUUGGACAAUGGGCGCAAGCCUGAUCCAGCCAUACCGCGUGGGUGAAGAAGGCCUUCGGGUUGUAAAGCCCUUUUGUUGGGAAAGAAAAGCAGCAGGUUACGACCCCGCUGUUCUGACGGUACCCAAAGAAUAAGCACCGGCUAACUUCGU